AACAUAGGAUUUUUUGGGUUCACACAUACAGCUCAUAGCAGUCCCUUUUUGAUGGAUAGUUGGGUUGUUUCCAGUCUUUUUCUAUUACAAUGAAUGUGCCAGUAAAGAGCUUCAUGAACAAAAGUAUACCAGGCAAAUUAAUGAACUAGAGGGACAGUUCCAUCAAAAAGCCAAAGAAAUUGGCAUGAUUCACACAGAGCUGAAAGCAGUAAGACAAUUCCAGAAGAGAAAAAUCCAAGUGGAGAGAGAGUUAGAUGAUCUGAAAGAGAAUUUAAGAAACACAGAGCGGAUACAUCAGGAGACUCUUAGAAGACUGGAAAGCAGAUUUUUUGAAGAAAAGGCAAUUGAACGAUGCUGGAAGAAAUGUUUUUAAAGAGAAUGUUUAUCUCCAGAAAGCUCUGGCAUAUCACCUGAAGGAAACUGACGCUCUACAAAAAAACUCCCAGAAGUUGCAAGAGAGUCAUACUUUACUUUUACAUCAAAAGAGUUGGUCCCUGAGUCACUUAGGAAUACAUUUAGCGGUGAGUAACAGUCCUGACAUCAGUGACAUCACCACACAAGGGUUUAUUCUUUCACCUAAAGGAGGCCUGGAGGAGAUCAAUGAUCUGUUGGUUAAGGAAAAGAUUAUGCAACUUGUCCAGCAGAGAUCACAAAUCCAAACCCUUCAGAAGAAGGUAGUAAACUUGGAGACUGCUCUGAGUUACAUGACCAAAGAGUUUGAGAGUGAAGUUUUAAAACUGCAGCAACACGCAAUGAUAGAGAACCAAGCAGGUCAGGUAGAAAUUGACAAGCUGCAGCACCUUCUUCAGAUGAAGGACAGGGAAAUGAAUCGUGUGAAGAAGCUGGCCAAGAACAUACUGGAUGAGAGAACAGAAGUGGAAAGAUUCUUUUUAGAUGCUCUGCACCAAGUGAAGCAACAGAUCCUAAUUAGCAGGAAGCAUUAUAAGCAGAUAGCACAAGCUGCUUUCAAUUUAAAAAUGAGAGCAGCAUGUACAGGAAGAACAGAAUAUCCCAAAAUCAGAACAUUUGAUGGCAGAGAGCACAGCACCAAUAGUGUGAAUCAGGAUCUUCUGGAGGCCGAAAAAUGGACACAUAUUGAAGGAAAUGUGGAUAUUGGAGAUUUGACCUGGGAGCAGAAGGAAAAAGUAUUGCGAUUGCUCUUUGCAAAAAUGAAUGGCUGUCCUUCUAGGAAAUACAACCAGAGUUCUAGGCCUCCAGUUCCAGACUAUGUUGUUUCUGACAGUGGGGAAACAAAGGAAUUUGGGGAUGAAAGUAAGCUUCAAGAUAAAAUCUUCAUCACCCAGCAAAUUCCAAUAUCAGACUCUUCUGGUAAAGUGGUGCUACCCAGUAUUCCAAAAGAACCUCAAGAGUCUGACACAAGCACACAGAAACCAUCAGAUGAGAACUUCUCAACUUCCUACUAGCAAACCUACAAAACUGAACUCAACCUAAUGGAGAAGGUAGCCAGCAAGCUCCAUGCAGGAAAAGUGACCGAGAGAGUGGUGCACGAUCAAUAUAUGUGGACUGGAUGAAGAGGUCCCCACUCAGCCAUCAUCACUUUCUCUAGGAAGUCUCAACCUCAGGUCUAUGGUCACUAGAUUGUUGUGUCCCCAGCCCCUAGCACAAUUCCUGGAAGAGAGUCACUUUAGAAGUUUCUCCAAAUGAAUCAGAAAAUACAUAGUGUCUGUUUCUGAAAUAAAAGUACAUGGAAAGAG
RNAcentral lists this small RNA (1715 nucleotides) under Pan troglodytes (chimpanzee). Its description in RNAcentral is "processed transcript". The record is from RNAcentral. Lineage: Eukaryota; Metazoa; Chordata; Mammalia; Primates; Hominidae.